RNAcentral lists this long non-coding RNA (148 nucleotides) under Gorilla gorilla gorilla (western lowland gorilla). RNAcentral's name for it is "lncRNA (ENSGGOG00000044657.1)". The record is from RNAcentral. Lineage: Eukaryota; Metazoa; Chordata; Mammalia; Primates; Hominidae.
UUUUACAACUCUACAUGCAGGCAUUAUUACUUCUAUGUUAUGGAUGGAGAAACUGAGACUUAGAGAGUUGGUCAAUCAGGCAGUCUAGAUUUUGGAAUGGUUAUUUACAGAAUGAAGGCAGGAGGGAAGCGGUUUAAAUACAGCGCAC